RNAcentral lists this small RNA (284 nucleotides) under Arabidopsis thaliana (thale cress). RNAcentral describes it as "ATSL279620". Lineage: Eukaryota; Viridiplantae; Streptophyta; Magnoliopsida; Brassicales; Brassicaceae. The record is from RNAcentral.
AUUUUACGGUUUUAGUUUAGUAUUAAAGUUAUAUAAUUUUAUAUUAAUGUUGUAACUAAAAAAAUUGGUGAUGAUAAAAUAAUAAAAUAAAUAUUUAACUUGUGUUAUAUCAAUCCAAACCCGUCCUGCUAUAUUUCAUAUCAAUCCAAACCUGUCCCGCUAUAUUUUACGUCCCAUGAUAUUUUAAUUUUUUAUAAGUUUAAAUAGUAGUUGUGGAAUUAGUUGUGAUUGUGAUUUUAUGCCAAAAAAGUUAUGGACUUUUAAUUCCAUGGAAUAUUCAAACC